UUAGAUACCCUGGUAGUCCACGCCGUAAACGAUGUCGACUUGGAGGUUGUGCCCUUGAGGCGUGGCUUCCGGAGCUAACGCGUUAAGUCGACCGCCUGGGGAGUACGGCCGCAAGGUUAAAACUCAAAUGAAUUGACGGGGGCCCGCACAAGCGGUGGAGCAUGUGGUUUAAUUCGAUGCAACGCGAAGAACCUUACCUACUCUUGACAUCCAGAGAACUUUCCAGAGAUGGAUUGGUGCCUUCGGGAACUCUGAGACAGGUGCUGCAUGGCUGUCGUCAGCUCGUGUUGUGAAAUGUUGGGUUAAGUCCCGCAAUGAGCGCAACCCUUAUCCUUUGUUGCCAGCGGUCCGGCCGGGAACUCAAAGGAGACUGCCAGUGAUAAACUGGAGGAAGGUGGGGAUGACGUCAAGUCAUCAUGGCCCUUACGAGUAGGGCUACACACGUGCUACAAUGGCGCAUACAAAGAGAAGCGACCUCGCGAGAGCAAGCGGACCUCAUAAAGUGCGUCGUAGUCCGGAUUGGAGUCUGCAACUCGACUCCAUGAAGUCGGAAUCGCUAGUAAUCGUGGAUCAGAAUGCCACGGUGAAUACGUUCCCGGGCCUUGUACACACCGCCCGUCA
This 621-nucleotide ribosomal RNA is filed under the name Enterobacter sp. C-18. Its description in RNAcentral is "bacterial SSU rRNA". It matches the Rfam family "Bacterial small subunit ribosomal RNA", at positions 778 to 1399 of the family's 1533-position model. Lineage: Bacteria; Pseudomonadati; Pseudomonadota; Gammaproteobacteria; Enterobacterales; Enterobacteriaceae. The record is from RNAcentral.